Molecule: long non-coding RNA, 316 nt
Organism: Physella acuta
Lineage: Eukaryota; Metazoa; Mollusca; Gastropoda; Physidae
Source: RefSeq, a predicted model, not a curated record
AGUAGCAUUAAAACAACUGCAUCUAUUAUCAACAUUGUUUUUAUAUGCCAGUUCUAAUUAUACAUUCUGUUCAUUACCAAUUCUAAUGAAAUCGUAUCAGGCCCUAACACCCUGUUCACCUACACUGACACUACACUUGAAUGACGCCACAGACAGUCGUAACUUUAAAUUAAUGUUCAAAAGUGUUUCUAAAAGCCAGAAUUUUAAAGGGGAGGGCGGUCGUUUUUUUUCUCAAGAAUAAUUAUAGAAAUAAGCUAUAAACUGGUAUAUUUUGUAAAGUUUGACAUAAUUACAAAUAAAUGUAUGCCUAAGUGAC